This 4601-nucleotide long non-coding RNA is filed under the name Serinus canaria (Common canary). RNAcentral describes it as "lncRNA (ENSSCAG00000000648.1)". The record is from RNAcentral. Lineage: Eukaryota; Metazoa; Chordata; Aves; Passeriformes; Fringillidae.
GGAGGUGACGGGCGGCGGCAGGUGGGGGUCACAGCGGGCGCGGAGUCCCUGCCCUGGCAGCGCGGGCAGCCGGCACAUGUUGCAGCCAGAGCGGCCGGAGCAAGGCGGAGAGAGGCGCAGUCGGCUGGGCAGGGAUGAAAGUCAGGCCAGCUCAGCUCACCGCAAAGGGAUCCUCUCAGGAGCAUUGGGAGGUUAAAUCAGAGCUGGUGUCUCCUUGGUUAUUGGCCUAUGUGCCUAUAAGAAGCUGCCACGGAGUGCUGAAGGACAAAUAUGGGGAGUUUUCUCCUCCAGUAUUCCAUGCUGAUUUCCCUGUAAGCUUUUGGUGUAACUGGACAAUCUGGGCAGGCUCCAGGAAGCACAUCAUCAUUUAUAUCCAGGGAUUUAUCACUAAGGAUGCUUGCAACAAAAACGAGGACAAAAUUCUGUUUGAAGGAGUCUCCUCCCUGGUGGAAAACAGUGUUGUUUAUGCCUGCUGGAAAAAGGAGAUGCAUGUCUUUGCCACCUUUGCUCAGGCUGUCCAUGUUGUGCUGCUGAAGAGGUACUUGCCAAACCAGAGAGAUGCAAGAUUUAAAGGGAAGUACUACAUCUUCCAAGACCGGCAAGGUGCCUCUUCCUCCAAAGAUGACGUGAUUUCUGGAACUUCUGCUUCAAAACUGCCAAAGAAAGGUGGUGGUUUUCAGUCUGGCUGGGUUGAAAACUUUAGAGAUGCACUGGGCUUUGCAACCACACGUGGAAGCACCACUGUGCUAAGCAGUGAACGGAUGCAGGGAAGAGGGACCACUCUGGACACCACGGCUUGGGGAAGUCCUACAGAACUUCUCCCAUAUGAACGUGCAAGCACACAGGCUCUAAAAACAACAGCUCCUUGUGGGCUGGGGUCUGAGCUGCUGGAGGCUCAGGAAGCUCCAGGUAUAGGAACACCUGAGGAAAUAAUCCCCACUGCAGCUCAGGACAUCUGGGGGCAGAAUCCCUCCAUGAGUGAGGGCACUGCUGUGAGUUCUGCUCCUGUGCACAGUCUGCUUUUGGAAACUCCUUUGCUUGGUGCCUUCCAGGGAGCAGAACCUUUUUGGCAGACAGCAGAUGUGAGUCUGGAGAGCAGCCAGCCUGUCCCGAGCCCUACACUGAGGCCAAAAGGUCUGGGCCACCUGCAGCUUACCAUUAAACCAACAGGCACGGGUCGCCUGGCCUUGGCUGCACCCCCUGAGCCUCUGUCCCCUGGCACAGGUCCCACCAGGGACAGCCAGCUUAGCACAGCCAGCCUGGAGAAGGAAGGAAGCCCUGCCUUGCUGAGUGUCCCAGCUGAUGGCCUCACCAAGGACCUGAUGCCCAGCCUGAGGAACCCCUCUGAUGUGGCCACCAGGGACCAUUUGCAGCUACUUCCUGAGAGAAGCCAAAGCAGUCUGGGGCCUUUGUCCAUGCCUAAAGCUGAGCUAGGCACAACCGGCCUCCAGCAUACCAAGCUCAUGGAUAUUUUCUCACUGGGAAGUUUUGGGGGAGCUGUCAGGAGGAGAACAGCACUUCAUCCCACAGCACCAGCGCUAGACGUACCUGCUUUGGCAACAGGGCUGGAGCAUCCUCUCACAACUGUGCCUGCCCUAGGGACAGAAACCAUCCCUGUGCUGGUGACCUCCUCCACAGUGCCUGUCCCUGCAGGCUUUGGCUCUCUGGAUUUAAUUCCUGAAGCACCUCUUCCUCCACAAGUGGAGUCUCUGUCCAUGGUGCCUUUUCCAGCAGCUACUCUGGAUUGGGACCCUGUCAGUCUCAGGCAGAGGGACAUCUCCCCAGCUAGCCCAGGAGGACAGGAGAUGGUCUCCCCUUCACCACCUUGCCAUCCAUCAGUAGCCUCUGAACUGGGCACAGAUGGGUCCUCCAGAUGCUUUGGCCCUGGGAAGCAAAAGUCGGUGCUGGGACAGGGAAGUGAAACCUCAGCCUCUGUGGGCCUGAUGGCCGGGAGUCCCUCCCCUGUCAUUGUCACUGUCCCAGGGCCUGGUGUGAGGCUUGCUCAGCCUCAGGGCCAUGUCACUGGAGGCUCUGGGAUGACACCAGCUUCCCUGCCAGACACCAGAGAGGGGCAUGAGGUGCCUGUGCAGCAUCAGGACAGUGCUCUUAGUGACAAAUCAGCUUCUCUCUCCAGAUUCAGGGGGUUUAAAAAGCAGGGAGCCACAGAAGCUGUGCAAGUGGGUGCAGGACAGGGGACAGCUGCCUCCUUCAGCACCACUCCUGCACACCCUGAUCUGCCUGCAGCUCUGUCAGGAGAAACACUGCCAAGAGAUCAAAAGCCUUGGGAGCCCUCUGGUGUAACCAGAAACACCAAGAUGGCAGAAGGACAGCAAGGGAAACAUGCUGAGGUGUCAGAGCUGCCCCCUCCCUGGGUAACUGAGUACUUUCCCAUCAGGAGCUGCCACCUCAUCUUCCGGGAUGGGUCUGGCCUGUUCUACCUCCCACUGCAUGCUGACAUUAAUGCCAACAUCUGGUGCAACUGGACCAUCUGGGCAGGCCCCCAGAAGCACAUUGUCAUCUAUGUCCAAGGGUUCCAGGGGAACGAUGGCUGUGGCAACAACCAGGACAAGAUCAUCUUCCAGGGGGUCUCGUCAAGCGUGGAAACCAAAGUGGUGUUUGCCUGCCACAACCGAGGCACUCUGGUCUUUGCUGCACGAGCCACUGAGGUCCAGGUGUUGUUUCUGUCAGGGAGUGGUUCCAGCAGCCAUGAGUACAGGUAUUUUAGAGGGCAGUAUUAUGUAUUCAGAGACUCUGAAACUGUGGGCUCUUCAAGUGAUACCAUAGCAGCUCCCCAGGAGCCUGUCCAGGAGACCUCUAAAAAUGAGAGCUGGAGGACAGUAGUGACCAAAGGUUUAUUCUCCAUGCUGACAGCUCCUCCAGUCCCACCAGCUGCACCUGCUGGUGGCAGGAUCCAGCCUGGCAUUGUGAGCCCAGGAGAGGUGGGCCAACAAUCUCCUGAUCUCAUGGAAGAUGGCCAGUCUGGUGCUAACUGGAGUGAGCAUGGUCAGGAUGAAACCAGGCUGGAAAUGACCCUUGAGGACAGUGGCAGCAAGGGCAGAGAAAAUGAAGAUGGCAUGUUGGUGGAGCCAGCUCCAGCUGGGCAAGGCACUGGGGGCAGAGCUGAGCCACCCGCCUUGGAGCUGUCCCCUGGGACAGCCCUGGUCACCAUGGUCCCACGUCACCCAGCUGGUUCCCCUCGCUCAGAGAUGCCUAGCAGCAGUGUAGGUGUCUCUGACACAUCACCUACCCUGGGUCAGGCCAGUGGCAGCCACUCAGAAGUGCCAGCUGCUGCACAUCACACACGGACACCAGAGCUGGCAGAGCGACCAAUGAACACCAGCACAAAACCACCUCUCUACCCCUCUCCUGGUGUGACUGCUGCGGAUGCGAAAUCUCUGGGAGGGAGGACUGAAGAGCUCUUUGAUCUGAUGUCACCUGUGGGCAAUGACACAGGACUGCAAUCCCAGCACCAUCCUGGAGAUGUGCUGUUUGAAGUCACUGCUGAAAUCAAACCCAAGGAUUGGAUUCCUGAUGGUGAAAAUGAGUUCCAAAAGGGUCUGCUUGAAUCUCUGAAGAAUCAUAUCCAGAAGAACCUGAAGCUUUCUGCCAAUAGAGUCAGUGAAAUUAAGUUAAAGGAUGUCAAAAGGACAAAGGAUGCCAACCUGCUGCUCACCUUCUGGCUGCACCUGGAGCCAGAGGAGAGGAACGUGUCUCUGCUCGUGCGCUCACAGCUGGAGGAGCUGCUUGGCACCUCGGUGGGUGUGGAGAAGCUGCAGCUUGUUUCACUCUUCGUUGAAGAUGUGAACGAGUGCCAGGCUGGGCUUGACCUCUGUGGGGAGGAGGCAGAGUGCUUCAAUGGCGUGGGCACCUACCUGUGCCGCUGCAAGAAGGACUACGAGGACCAUUCUCCCAUCAAGUCCGGCACGCUCUGCAUCCGCGCUCCCCGAGCAGGGAUCAGCACCUUCCUCCGCCACGCUGACAUGCUGGCGGGGGCAGCCCUGGUGGCCGGCCUGGUGCUGCUGGUGGCCUUUGGUGGUCUCUGCGUCACGGCCCUGUGGGGCCAGGUCCCCGGGAGGAGCCCAAGGCCUGAGGAGGCGGCGGUGAGGGCCGCGGAGGAGCCAGCCAUGGAGGAGCCAGCCAUGGAGCUGCAGGGCCUGGGGGAGCUCCUGCAGCUCGAGCCCUUCCAGCUGAAGCUGCGGGCCAGGCCCCCCGAGUGGCUCUGGAGCGUCCGGGCCCACCCUGGCCAGGCGGGACCGCAGUUGCCAGAGCGGCCUCCCCCGCUCUGAGGGGGGCCGGGCCUCGGAGAGCCGUCCAGGUGCUCCUGCAUUUCCCCAGGUUUCUGCCGCAACCCCUGGCUGUGCCAACCCUUCUGCUGUGUUUUAUGGACCGUGAAUAUCCCACAACAGUGUUCCUCAUGUUGUAACUUAAUUUUUUUAAUGCUUGCUCAGCUUGAGGAACAAAAUGUUUGCUCCACCCUGCUGUAUGCUUGCUGAUUUACCCCUACUCGAGAUCUGCACAGGAAAAUUAAAAACUUGAUUUUUCUUUUAAAGAAAAAAGGAAAUAAGACGCUUUGGUGCUUAUUGUGAAAUUAAAAAUUAUUC